GCUCAGGAGGCCGGAGCGGACAUCUGCUGUUUUGGCCGGCCGGGCACCCACGCCCCCCUUUCUGGCAAAAGCCCCCUAGUUGCCUCACGAAACCCGACGGACUGUAAUCCAAUGGCCCUGCCCCAAACUCACUGUGUGACCCUGGACAAGAUGGCCGCUCCCUGAGCCUCAGUUUCUCCACCCGCCUAUCCAAGCUGGGCUCCACCGCUGAUAUCCCAUGACCCUUGGCUGCUGUCAUGGAUCAGCUGAGGUGACCUUGGGCUCUCUGGGGCAUGCUUGGGGGAGGGGAGAUGGUAGUUGGGGAAUCCUUGGUUCGACCUCCUGCUGUGUGGCGUGAGGCCGGAAGGAUCAAUGUAUCCGGUCCCCGGGCCCUGCUAAGUCCCAAAUAAAGUCAGCUUUGCACAGCUAA
Molecule: long non-coding RNA, 409 nt
Organism: Herpailurus yagouaroundi (jaguarundi)
Lineage: Eukaryota; Metazoa; Chordata; Mammalia; Carnivora; Felidae
Exons: 2
Source: RefSeq, a predicted model, not a curated record